CCCUUAGAUGUUCUGGGCCGCACGCGCGCUACAAUGGUCUUCGCAAACGGAUGCAUUCUCGAAGGAGAAUGCCAAUCUUGGAAUCUAUGCCUUGGUCGGGACAGUUGCUUGCAAUUUUUCGACUCGAACCAGGAAUUACUUGUAAUCGUGAUUCAUCACAUCACGAUGAAUACGUCCCUGCCCUUUGUACACACCGCCCGUCGCUCCUACCGAUCGAAGAGUUAGGUGAAUUGUUUUGAUCGAUAAGAUUUGACUAUGGUCAACUCUCGUUGUGAAAUUCUGUGAAUCUGACUGUUUAGAGGAAGGAAAAGUCGUAACA
Molecule: ribosomal RNA, 319 nt
Filed under: uncultured eukaryote
Lineage: Eukaryota
Description: partial 18S ribosomal RNA
Rfam family: Eukaryotic small subunit ribosomal RNA
Source: RNAcentral